This 505-nucleotide ribosomal RNA is filed under the name uncultured bacterium. RNAcentral's name for it is "partial 16S ribosomal RNA". It matches the Rfam family "Bacterial small subunit ribosomal RNA", at positions 28 to 507 of the family's 1533-position model. The record is from RNAcentral.
GACGAACGCUGGCGGCGUGCCUAAUACAUGCAAGUAGAACGCACAGUUUAUACCGUAGCUUGCUACACCAUAAACUGUGAGUUGCGAACGGGUGAGUAACGCGUAGGUAACCUGCCUGGUAGCGGGGGAUAACUAUUGGAAACGAUAGCUAAUACCGCAUAAUAUUAAUUAUUGCAUGAUAAUUGAUUGAAAGAUGCAAUUGCAUCACUACCAGAUGGACCUGCGUUGUAUUAGCUAGUAGGUGAGGUAACGGCUCACCUAGGCGACGAUACAUAGCCGACCUGAGAGGGUGAUCGGCCACACUGGGACUGAGACACGGCCCAGACUCCUACGGGAGGCAGCAGUAGGGAAUCUUCGGCAAUGGACGAAAGUCUGACCGAGCAACGCCGCGUGAGUGAAGAAGGUUUUCGGAUCGUAAAGCUCUGUUGUAAGAGAAGAACGGGUGUGAGAGUGGAAAGUUCACACUGCGACGGUAUCUUACCAGAAAGGGACGGCUAACUACGUG